Molecule: ribosomal RNA, 397 nt
Filed under: uncultured bacterium
Lineage: Bacteria
Description: partial 16S ribosomal RNA
Rfam family: Bacterial small subunit ribosomal RNA
Source: RNAcentral
AUACGUAGGGGGCGAGCGUUGUCCGGAAUGAUUGGGCGUAAAGGGCGCGUAGGCGGCCCGGUAAGUCUGGAGUGAAAGUCCUGCUUUUAAGGUGGGAAUUGCUUUGGAUACUGUCGGGCUUGAGUGCAGGAGAGGUAAGUGGAAUUCCCAGUGUAGCGGUGAAAUGCGUAGAGAUUGGGAGGAACACCAGUGGCGAAGGCGACUUACUGGACUGUAACUGACGCUGAGGCGCGAAAGUGUGGGGAGCAAACAGGAUUAGAUACCCUGGUAGUCCACACUGUAAACGAUGAAUGCUAGGUGUAGGGGGUAUCGACCCCGUCUGUGCCGCAGUUAACACAAUAAGCAUUCCGCCUGGGGAGUACGGCCGCAAGGUUGAAACUCAAAUGAAUUGACGGGG